GGGCCGGUAGCUCAGUGGUUAGAGCAGGGCGCUCAUAACGCUUUGGUGGCUGGUUCAAUUCCAGCUCGGCCCACCA
RNAcentral lists this transfer RNA (76 nucleotides) under bacterium. Its description in RNAcentral is "tRNA-Ile". It matches the Rfam family "tRNA". From Rfam's summary of the family: Transfer RNA (tRNA) molecules are approximately 80 nucleotides in length. Their secondary structure includes four short double-helical elements and three loops (D, anti-codon, and T loops). RNAcentral also lists the same sequence under 1 other name. The record is from RNAcentral.